This 486-nucleotide ribosomal RNA is filed under the name uncultured bacterium. RNAcentral describes it as "partial 16S ribosomal RNA". It matches the Rfam family "Bacterial small subunit ribosomal RNA", at positions 46 to 523 of the family's 1533-position model. The record is from RNAcentral.
GCCUAACACAUGCAAGUCGAGCGGCAGCGAGACUAAUGGCAAUACUAGUUGUCGGCGAGCGGCGGACGGGUGAGGAACACGUAGGAACUUGCCCUUUAGAGGGGGAUAACCAAGGGAAACUUUGGCUAAUACCGCGUAAACUCGAAAGAGGAAAGCUGCCCGAAAGGGUGGCGCUAAAGGAGAGUCCUGCGUCUGAUUAGCUAGUUGGUGAGGUAAUGGCUUACCAAGGCGAUGAUCGGUAACUGGUCUGAGAGGACGACCAGUCACACUGGGACUGAGACACGGCCCAGACUCCUACGGGAGGCAGCAGUGGGGAAUAUUGGACAAUGGGGGCAACCCUGAUCCAGCGAUGCCGCGUGGGUGAAGAAGGCCUUCGGGUUGUAAAGCCCUUUAGGUUGGGAAGAAGUGAAUUGUAGGAUAAUGACAGUUCAUUGACGGUACCGACAGAAUAAGCACCGACAAACUCUGUGCCAGCAGCCGCGGUAA